CAUCGAUGGUUUUUCUUCAGAUCGUAUAAAUCUUUCGCCUUUUACUAAAGAUUUCCGUGAAGGACUUCCUCUUUUAUUUUAAGUCAGCUCGAUUUGACAUGAUUCAAUGGUUUUGU
Callithrix jacchus (white-tufted-ear marmoset) is the source of this 116-nucleotide small nuclear RNA. Its record names the gene U5. It matches the Rfam family "U5 spliceosomal RNA". Rfam says of the family: U5 RNA is a component of both types of known spliceosome. The precise function of this molecule is unknown, though it is known that the 5' loop is required for splice site selection and p220 binding, and that both the 3' stem-loop and the Sm site are important for Sm protein binding and cap methylation. The record is from Ensembl. NCBI's taxonomy places the organism in Eukaryota, Metazoa, Chordata, Mammalia, Primates, Cebidae.